CACAUGCAAGUCGAGGGGCAGCAUGAACUUAGCUUGCUAAGUUUGAUGGCGACCGGCGCACGGGUGAGUAACACGUAUCCAACCUGCCGAUGACUCGGGGAUAGCCUUUCGAAAGAAAGAUUAAUACCCGAUGGCAUAGUUCUUCCGCAUGGUAGAACUAUUAAAGAAUUUCGGUCAUCGAUGGGGAUGCGUUCCAUUAGGUUGUUGGCGGGGUAACGGCCCACCAAGCCUUCGAUGGAUAGGGGUUCUGAGAGGAAGGUCCCCCACAUUGGAACUGAGACACGGUCCAAACUCCUACGGGAGGCAGCAGUGAGGAAUAUUGGUCAAUGGACGAGAGUCUGAACCAGCCAAGUAGCGUGAAGGAUGACUGCCCUAUGGGUUGUAAACUUCUUUUAUACGGGAAUAAAGUGAGGCACGUGUGCCUUUUUGUAUGUACCGUAUGAAUAAGGAUCGGCUAACUCCGUGCCAGCAGCCGCGGUAAUACGGAGGAUCCGAGCGUUAUCCGGAUUUAUUGGGUUUAAAGGGAGCGUAGGCGGACGCUUAAGUCAGUUGUGAAAGUUUGCGGCUCAACCGUAAAAUUGCAGUUGAUACUGGGUGUCUUGAGUACAGUAGAGGCAGGCGGAAUUCGUGGUGUAGCGGUGAAAUGCUUAGAUAUCACGAAGAACUCCGAUUGCGAAGGCAGCUUGCUGGACUGUAACUGACGCUGAUGCUCGAAAGUGUGGGUAUCAAACAGGAUUAGAUACCCUGGUAGUCCACACAGUAAACGAUGAAUACUCGCUGUUUGCGAUAUACAGUAAGCGGCCAAGCGAAAGCGUUAAGUAUUCCACCUGGGGAGUACGCCGGCAACGGUGAAACUCAGAGGAAUUGACGGGGGCCCGCACAAGCGGAGGAACAUGUGGUUUAA
RNAcentral lists this ribosomal RNA (904 nucleotides) under uncultured bacterium. RNAcentral describes it as "bacterial SSU rRNA". It matches the Rfam family "Bacterial small subunit ribosomal RNA", at positions 52 to 949 of the family's 1533-position model. The record is from RNAcentral.